GACGAACGCUGGCGGCGUGCUUAACACAUGCAAGUCGAACGCUGUAGCAAUACAGAGUGGCAGACGGGUGAGUAACGCGUGGGAACGUGCCCUUUGGUUCAGAAUAACCCAGGGAAACUUGGGCUAAUACCGGAUACGUCCGUAAGGAGAAAGAUUUAUCGCCAAAGGAUCGGCCCGCGUCGGAUUAGCUAGUUGGUGAGGUAAAGGCUCACCAAGGCGACGAUCCGUAGCUGGUCUGAGAGGAUGACCAGCCACACUGGGACUGAGACACGGCCCAGACUCCUACGGGAGGCAGCAGUGAGGAAUAUUGGACAAUGGGCGCAAGCCUGAUCCAGCCAUGCCGCGUGAGUGAAGAAGGCCUUAGGGUUGUAAA
Molecule: ribosomal RNA, 373 nt
Filed under: uncultured bacterium
Lineage: Bacteria
Description: bacterial SSU rRNA
Rfam family: Bacterial small subunit ribosomal RNA
Source: RNAcentral